GGCAUGGCGGCAGCUACACAUGCAAGUCGAGCGGUAACAGAUCCAGCUUGCUGGAUGCUGACGAGCGGCGGACGGGUGAGUAAUGCAUAGGAAUCUGCCCGAUAGUGGGGGAUAACCUGGGGAAACCCAGGCUAAUACCGCAUACGUCCUACGGGAGAAAGGGGGCUUCGGCUCCCGCUAUCGGAUGAGCCUAUGUCGGAUUAGCUAGUUGGUGAGGUAACGGCUCACCAAGGCCACGAUCCGUAGCUGGUCUGAGAGGAUGAUCAGCCACAUCGGGACUGAGACACGGCCCGAACUCCUACGGGAGGCAGCAGUGGGGAAUAUUGGACAAUGGGGGGAACCCUGAUCCAGCCAUGCCGCGUGUGUGAAGAAGGCCCUCGGGUUGUAAAGCACUUUCAGCGAGGAAGAACGCCUAGCGGUUAAUACCCGCUAGGAAAGACAUCACUCGCAGAAGAAGCACCGGCUAACUCCGUGCCAGCAGCCGCGGUAAUACGGAGGGUGCAAGCGUUAAUCGGAAUUACUGGGCGUAAAGCGCGCGUAGGUGGCUUGAUAAGCCGGUUGUGAAAGCCCCGGGCUCAACCUGGGAACGGCAUCCGGAACUGUCAAGCUAGAGUGCAGGAGAGGAAGGUAGAAUUCCCGGUGUAGCGGUGAAAUGCGUAGAGAUCGGGAGGAAUACCAGUGGCGAAGGCGGCCUUCUGGACUGACACUGACACUGAGGUGCGAAAGCGUGGGUAGCAAACAGGAUUAGUCCU
Molecule: ribosomal RNA, 752 nt
Filed under: Vreelandella aquamarina
Lineage: Bacteria; Pseudomonadati; Pseudomonadota; Gammaproteobacteria; Oceanospirillales; Halomonadaceae
Description: bacterial SSU rRNA
Rfam family: Bacterial small subunit ribosomal RNA
Source: RNAcentral